Molecule: ribosomal RNA, 251 nt
Filed under: uncultured bacterium
Lineage: Bacteria
Description: partial 16S ribosomal RNA
Rfam family: Bacterial small subunit ribosomal RNA
Source: RNAcentral
UACGUAGGGGGCAAGCGUUAUCCGGAUUUACUGGGUGUAAAGGGAGCGUAGACGGUUGUGCAAGUCUGAAGUGAAAGCCCGCGGCUCAACUGCGGAACGGCUUUGGAAACUGUGUAACUGGAGUGCUGGAGAGGUAAGCGGAAUUCCUGGUGUAGCGGUGAAAUGCGUAGAGAUCAGGAGGAACACCGGCGGCGAAGGCGGCUUACUGGACAGUAACUGACGUUGAGGCUCGAAAGCGUGGGGAGCAAACA